RNAcentral lists this ribosomal RNA (253 nucleotides) under uncultured bacterium. RNAcentral describes it as "partial 16S ribosomal RNA". It matches the Rfam family "Bacterial small subunit ribosomal RNA", at positions 524 to 776 of the family's 1533-position model. The record is from RNAcentral.
UACGGAGGAUCCGAGCGUUAUCCGGAUUUAUUGGGUUUAAAGGGUGCGUAGGCGGACUAAUAAGUCAGCUGUGAAAGUUUACGGCUCAACCGUGAAAUUGCAGUUGAAACUGUUGGUCUUGAGUACACAAGAGGUGAGCGGAAUUUGUGGUGUAGCGGUGAAAUGCUUAGAUAUCACAAGGAACUCCAAUUGCGAAGGCAGCUCACUGGGGUGUAACUGACGCUGAGGCACGAAGGUGCGGGUAUCAAACAGG